GCGUGCUGGGGCUAGCAGAGCAGAUGCACAAAAAACUUUUUUCACAAGCAGGUUUCCAGAUACUGACGGGUGGGAAAACUGUUCACACCCUAUGUAGAUGGCAUUAUCAUUGUGGUGCAAAAGCAACACGGUUUAGAAAACCAAUUACAGGUGAAUUUAAACGGUGGGAUUCAUCGUCUUCAAUCGGAGUAAUGAUAGGGGAUCCCCAGCUGUGUUCACACAUCGACUUCUCCUGGAUUUCUAGGGACUUCAUAGUAGGAGGGGGAGGAGCUGAGGAGGGCCUGGAGGGGACUCUGGGUUUGAGGCUGGACCCAGAUGAGCAGUCAGGCAGAGGGAUGGAGAAAACUCUCUGGACCACCACCUCCACAUCCUGCCCCACGGAGCCAGCCUGGCCCAGUCUCUCAACAGCUUCCAGGAGAGAAAGGCACUGCCCCGGAAAUUCCCCAGGACCUUCAAAACUGCACAGAGGAUCAGGGACGGCGACCUGAAGGAGAAAAACAGAAAAUUAAAUAAUAUUUAACAAUAAUUUGAAUAUCGCCUUUGAAAGUAUUGGUUAGAAGUCAAACAAACAAAAGCUGCACCAGAACAUCCCUGCCACUGAAACCACAGAGAUACUCUAUUCACUUAUUUCCAUUAGCACUAAUGCAAACAUUGUAAUAUUAGCUUAUACUUUCUCUCUGCGCAACAUAAUGUAUAAGCACACAGUCCGAGUCACACUAUCAGUGUAAACAACACGGCGAUAUGUAUCUGUUCCAAUGGCAACAAAGGCUAGAGUAUAAAGAAACCAUUCUUUUUUUUGCAUUUGAAAUCUGUUGUAAAAUUAGGGUGUGGCAGGUUGUACCAUAUGUUUCAGAAGUCUUUCUCUAUCACAACCACAAUCGCUUUGUUCAUGUGUUUGUAUUUUACUGCAAACAGAGAUUUAGAUGUAGGAAAUCAAUCAACCACAUAUGUUAUUGAUACAGCAGAGACUUAAAGCCCUGGAAACUGAUGUCCCAGAGACUCUUCAUUGUUCUUGUGUUGAUUAUUGGAAAGUGAAACUGAUCAACUCUGCUCUGCAGUGAGAUUUAAUAGCUAUGAAUUUAUAAGGAAAGUGAAACAAGCCCCCCCGAGUGUGCAACGAUUCAAUAUGGCUUUUAUAGAAAGAAACAGCUGAACCAGAGUAGAGACUUUUCUUAUGGCCAGAAGCCAAACUACCAAGCAAACAACACACUGAAGCUGUCAUCACAUCAGUUGGUGUGUGUGCAGGUGCUUAUUUGUUGGAGUGAUGUUAUUUCACAGCAGUGACUGACAGGCGUUAGGCGGGCGUGACAGAUUUAAAAAAGGUUUGUUUAAUGUCAAAAUGCUGCAGGGAAAUUUUGAAUAAAAAAUGUAGAAGAG
This is a long non-coding RNA of Pleuronectes platessa (European plaice), 1377 nucleotides long. RefSeq lists it as uncharacterized. The record is from RefSeq and is a predicted model, not a curated record. The transcript has 3 exons. NCBI's taxonomy places the organism in Eukaryota, Metazoa, Chordata, Actinopteri, Pleuronectiformes, Pleuronectidae.